UCGAUGGGAAACAGGUUAAUAUUCCUGUACUUGGUGUUACUGCGAAGGGGGGACGGAGAAGGCUAGGCUAGCCGGGCGACGGUUGUCCCGGUUUAAGCGUGUAGGGGGUGUGACCUGGUAAAUCCGGUUACAUAUCAACCCUGAGGCGUGAUGACGAUGCACUACGGUGCAGAAGUAGUUGAUGCCCUGCUUCCAGGAAAAGCCUCUAAGCUCCAGGUAACAUUGAAUCGUACCCCAAACCGACACAGGCGGUCAGGUAGAGUAUACCAAGGCUCUUGAGAGAACUAUGUUGAAG
This 295-nucleotide ribosomal RNA is filed under the name Chaetoceros curvisetus. RNAcentral's name for it is "partial Bacterial large subunit ribosomal RNA". It matches the Rfam family "Bacterial large subunit ribosomal RNA", at positions 1415 to 1709 of the family's 2925-position model. The record is from RNAcentral. Lineage: Eukaryota; Bacillariophyta; Thalassiosirophyceae; Chaetocerotales; Chaetocerotaceae.